AUUUCUUGCUUGAUUAAUGAGAGAAAACGUUAGUCUACUCUGACAAACCUUGAAUUAGGGUUGGAAGGAAGCUAUUAGAGAGGUUUUGGAGGAAGAAACCCUUGAGUACUUCUUGCUUGGCUAUUCAUCUAAGGUUUUGGAGGUAAAGACAUGAACUUUGUUAAAAAUAUUCCCUUAUCUUUGGGUUUAUUUGAUGUAUGAUGUUAUAGAAGUUAAACGAAGGACUUGUAUGGUGGAUUUUAUGAUUUUCAGGUUCUGUUGUGAAUUUCCAACUUUGUUUUGUGGGAUUCAAGAGGUAAACUUGAUAGCAACCUUAUCUUUCUUCACUUGUCUUUGCAUCUACUUGAUGGAUGAUAUUCUAUAAGGUAAAAUGCAUGACUUUUAUGGAAGAUUUCAUGGUUUGUCAAGAUUAUGUUGCAAUUUCCAACUUUGGUGCAUAAUCUAGUUAGUUUAGUUUAGAGUUUUGAAUAUGUGAAAUUUUGAUGGGUUUGUUUGCUAAGAAGAUGGUUCAUAUAUGUCAUGACAUGAUAUCUUGAUUGAUAGUGGUUUCACCAAGAAAAUAAGGUUGAAAGUUGGAAGUUUUGUUGGAAAAUUUGGGAAAAACUUGCUGUAAUUUCUAUUAGAGUUGGCCGGCUAGAAAAGAGCCAUUUUCUAGCUUUGAUUUCCAGAAUUUUGUGGUGAUUUUGGCAAGGUUUUGCUCAAGAUACUUUGUUAAACCUAAAUUUUCACCUGUAUGUUGGAUUUCAGUCAAAACAAAGAGGACAAGAGAAGGAAAAUGAGUUUUCUCCAACAUGUUUUUCUUGCUCGAAAUUUCUAGUUUUGUACCUCGAAAAUCUUGUCCUAUUGUCUUCAAAAUUCUUGGUUAUAAUCAACAAAAUUCUUGCUCCAUAUUAUACUUGAAACAUGGACCUAUCAUACAUAUAGUUUUCCCUUGAUUUGAACAAGAAAUCUUGGCCCUUUCGGAAACUAUAUUAGGGUUAAACCUGAAAUUUUCUGUGUUUGUCAAGUGAAGCUUCGAACUCAUAUUUUCUCAUUUAUCUUGGAUUUAAAUGGAUAGACUCUUGAUAGCUUAUAUGACCACAGGACUUGAGAAGACGAAUCAGGGUUUGAAGUGGAAACAUUGAGGUCAAGUGGUGAGUGUUCCUUAUGUUUGUGAAUUGAAUGCCUUGAUUGUGUGUUAUUUUUUGACUGUUAAAUGUAUUUCAAAAAUCACUUUACUAUUGAUAGGCGAGUGUGUACCUUAUCGCACUCGACCUAAGUGAAUAUGAAUUUUUAACGAUUACAUGAUUGAAUGUUACUUGUGCAUGAAUGCAAGUCAUUGGUUGAAUUGGACCCUUAUCCUUCGUCGCUAGCCUAUUCAAAUCAGAAGCAGACUCGGUCAGGUAGGUUGGUAACCCUGAGCCACUGUUUUGGUAUACUCGAGUAUAAUCACGAAAUCAGGUGAAGUACUGACCAGUGAAUGAAAUGCAAUAAAUAAAUGAUUGAAUGAAAUGAUCAAUGUCGGGGUUUUUGUUUUCAAAUGUGUUUUCAAAUAUUAGAAGUUAUAAGGAAGAAAUGGACGGAGACAGAAUGAC
RNAcentral lists this long non-coding RNA (1574 nucleotides) under Coffea arabica (coffee). Its description in RNAcentral is "long non-coding RNA (CARA_LNC001802)". Lineage: Eukaryota; Viridiplantae; Streptophyta; Magnoliopsida; Gentianales; Rubiaceae. The record is from RNAcentral.